Long non-coding RNA from Hipposideros armiger (great roundleaf bat), 3354 nucleotides. RefSeq lists it as uncharacterized. NCBI's taxonomy places the organism in Eukaryota, Metazoa, Chordata, Mammalia, Chiroptera, Hipposideridae. The transcript has 3 exons. The record is from RefSeq and is a predicted model, not a curated record.
UGUCCCCCACCCCCACCCCAUCCCCCAGGGGUGCUGUGACUCCCUCUUGCAGGGUGGGCACCAUCCGGAUCGGCUCAGGGUGGCUGCAGCAUGCUUUUCCUCAAGGUUUCCCUCUCCCCCCUCUGGCAGGUCCCGAUUUGGACAAUAAAUGGCCUGGUCCCUCUCCCUAUUGGAAACCUGCCGUGAGUGGUGGUGUGUGGCCGACGGGACAAGGCCCCUCUGAGAAGAUGUGCCCACUGGGGCCAGUGUGGGCACCACCGUCACUGCAGCCCCGUCACACCGCAGCCAGGUGUCGCGCUGCAGGGAGCUCCAGGCCUCUUCCCGUGGACAUCUUCACCACAGAUUGGAUGAAGCUGCAGGAAGUGAGUCUCCGUCAUCCUCAGCUGGUGUGAGUAAGACGCGGCCAAACAAAUACUGAAGAGCUGACUCAGGACGUGGAAGCCUGCAACUCACCGGCCCUGACUCAGAGAGAGCAGGGAGAAACUGGAGGGCACCGCCGUCAGGACACGGCCCCAUGUGGCACUGGUGGGAGCACACGGAACCGUGCGGGUGUCGUGUGAUGAAGCCGACACUGCAGCCCGAGGACGUGCUGUGGACCGGAGGCCUCACAGGUAACAUAUUCACAUGGAUAGGUGAUCAGAGUGACAGGAGAGGUCUGCCCAAGCGGCCUCCCUCCCGCCCGAGCCUGUCCGCCUGGUGGCCCUCUGGGCAGCCGCUGUUACUGGAUCCUCCUUGGUCCCUCUUUCUGGGAAGACAGCAGAUGUGAGUCCAUGUUUCCCCGCCCCACAACGCACAGCAUCUCUGUGUACAGUGUGCUGUGUGCUCUGCCCUGCACCUUGCUUUUUAAACCUUUUCCACUGUCGGGGAGACCUCACAUGUCCAUCCCGGAGGUGGCCUUCCUUCGGCGGAAGCCCCACGAACGUCCCCAACGAUGUGCAGGCUGCCCGGGCCCAGCUCCCGAUGGCUGGACUGGGGUGGUCUGCCGUCUCCUCCCUCUGAAAAUGGCCACCCUUGUGGAGUUUGCACGCUGGUGGGCGAGAAAGAGGACUCGGGCUGUAACUUGCACUUCUCUCGUUUUCGGUAAGUGGCAGCGCCCCUGUGCUUGCAGCUGUUUUUCUUUUCUGGGGACCUGACGGUUCAGAUCAUUGCCCUUUAUUCUGUUGGACUCGGUCUUUUUCUUCUGGAUUUGUUUCUGGAAGCUCUUUUGUGUUUCAGUUGCAAAUGUUAUUUUCCAGUUUGCCUUCUGCCAUUGCAUAUGACUCCCCCCCUCCCACCCCUGCAAAGUGACGCUAAACAAAUAAUAAUGGCUCUCACCCUCCUUCUGUAACCGACCGAUGGACGGUGCCUCCAGCAUGCUGCGGUAAGAUAACUUUGUCGUGUUAGAAGCAUUCUUCUCUCCCAGCUUACAGGGAGAGUUCAGCGGGAAUGAAUGUUGAAUCAGUCUUGUCGGUUAUGGAGAUCACGUCUUUUCUCCUUGGCCUGGCAGGUGACAUGAUCGAAGACCUAUUAUUAAAGCAUUCUUACAGUUGUAGAUUAAAUCCAACUCGAUCGGGUCGAUUGUUCUUUUCACUCACUGGUUGGUUCUGUUAUGAGUGCCUCACUCCGCUGCGUGUCGCCUGGCGGUGGGGGUGGGGCACCCUCUGUUACUUGGUUAAGCCCAGCCUUCUGUGGGCACCUGUCCCCGGCAUUGCCGCCUCCCCUCCCUUGGCUGCGGCUCUGGGCCCAGCACCUCCCCGCAGUGCCCUGAGGCUGACAGUGCUUGUGGCUGCCCCGCCACCCCACCCCAGGGUGGCUUUUGUCCCCUGGGGACUUAGGGGAGAAGGUUCCAGAAGGAGCUGUGCUCCCUCUCCCAGGUCCCCACCACAAGGACGCUUCUGUUGAAAUGUUCCAUGGAGGCACAGUUAAGUCCAGAAAUGGUUUUCCUCCUGUGUUUAGGUAGCUCGCUACUAGCAUUUUCCGGUUAAAGGAACACCCCACCUGGGCUGAGUCCUGACAGUGAAACCGUGUGCGGGCCUUGGGCCUGAGGAGAGUCAGGACUGCGACAUGAAGACACAGGUUCGCCUCAGCCUGCUGGCCACUAGUGGGGACUCGAGCCUCUGGGUGGUGGCACUCAGAGACCCCCUCCAGGGGUUUGUGGUUUCAGAGCCAGGCAUGGGGCCCCACAGGGCUCAUGGCCCCGACUGCUCUGGGAAGUGUUGGUUUUGUUUUCAUAAGGCACAUAAAACCCUUUGACUUGGGCAGGGAGAAGCCAGCGCCACCCUUACAAACUCCGGGCUUCCCCAGGAAGCGGCCCACCCUGCCCGACGGUCAGAUGGGGCCAGGUGGGCGCAGGUCUCUCUGAGCCUGGGUGUCAUCCUGGUCCCAAGCCACAGUGGCUGGAGGAGUGGGGUGCAGGCAAAGAUGGGUGCCGGUCCCCUAGAACAAGAGGCUGAGAAAGUGAAGGACACCCUGACACAGUACAGGACUCCAGCAAGGAUGGCAUUGUCCCUGUGUCCAAUUCUGAGGGACCCUCAGCUGCCCCUGCCAUGGAGAGGAGGGGUACCCAGGAGGAUGGGGGAGGCCCGUGCUGGGGACCCCGCAGAGCUGAGGCGGGGCCAGCCCAGAUGACACCUCCAUGGGCGAGAGCGCAGGAAGGGGCAGACCUCGGGGCACAGGCUGACCUUCUCCCCCAAAUUGGUCUAUAAAUUGAACAGUGUAAAAAAUAUCCAAAUGAGAGUACUGAAGAAAUUUAAGCUAAGAUACUAUAAAGCUAUACUAAUUAAAGCAAAGUGGUACUGUUAUAAAAAAAUGUAAAUUAAUCAAUGAAGCAGCCCCCAACCAGAUACAUAAAUGUGGGAAUUUAGUUCCUGAUAAGUGCGGUAUUUCAAAGCAGAAAUGUUUGAGAUUGUUGUCCAAAUAAAUAUUACUGGAACAUAUGGUUACCCCUAAGGCAAAAAUACAACAUGUAAAAGUAACUUCCCAAAAUUAAAGAGUUUAAAAAUAUGAGAAUACUAGAAGGAAAUAACUGGAGGGAGCACAUUUCGUAUUUAUAAUGUUUAUAUUAUGAUACGCUUUAUAUGUUUCUGUGAUGUAGCAUAGUCGUGCAUUGUGAGAGGCAGUGUGAGUAUAGGAAUAGAGCAGACAGGAGCAUAGGAAGAGCGCCAACUGCAUUUUAGGGUGAGGAAGAGCUUCCUAAAAAGGCAUGCUAUUCAGAAGCCAUAGAUGAAAACAAGUAACACUUGGCUCUAUAAAAAUAUCAGUUUCUAGGUAGCCAACCAAAAGAUAAAAAUGACACACAGGGAGAAAUAUUUGCAACAUCUCUAAUAAAGAGUUAUGCAUACUAGACAAAGGCUUUUGUUUUUUUUUGUUGUUUUU